UGAGUAACCUGCCCCCGACUCUGGGAUAACCCCGGGAAACCGGAGCUAAUACCGGAUACGACCCACACAGGCAUCUACGUGGGUGGAAAGAUUUAUCGGUCAGGGAUGGACUCGCGGCCUAUCAGCUUGUUGGUGAGGUAACGGCCCACCAAGGCGACGACGGGUAGCCGGCCUGAGAGGGCGACCGGCCACACUGGGACUGAGACACGGCCCAGACUCCUACGGGAAGCAG
Molecule: ribosomal RNA, 232 nt
Filed under: uncultured bacterium
Lineage: Bacteria
Description: partial 16S ribosomal RNA
Rfam family: Bacterial small subunit ribosomal RNA
Source: RNAcentral